This 305-nucleotide ribosomal RNA is filed under the name uncultured bacterium. RNAcentral describes it as "bacterial SSU rRNA". It matches the Rfam family "Bacterial small subunit ribosomal RNA", at positions 333 to 636 of the family's 1533-position model. The record is from RNAcentral.
GAGGGCCUACGGGACGCAGCAGUGAGGAAUAUUGGUCAAUGGGCGCGAGCCUGAACCAGCCAAGUCGCGUGAGGGAAGACGGUCCUAUGGAUUGUAAACCUCUUUUGUCGGGGAGCAAAAGACGCCACGCGUGGCGUUCCGAGAGUACCCGAAGAAAAAGCAUCGGCUAACUCCGUGCCAGCAGCCGCGGUAAUACGGAGGAUGCGAGCGUUAUCCGGAUUUAUUGGGUUUAAAGGGUGCGUAGGCGGACGCUUAAGUCAGCGGUAAAAUUGCGGGGCUCAACCUCGUCGAGCCGUUGAAACUGG